Molecule: ribosomal RNA, 267 nt
Filed under: uncultured bacterium
Lineage: Bacteria
Description: partial 16S ribosomal RNA
Rfam family: Bacterial small subunit ribosomal RNA
Source: RNAcentral
GUCCACGCCGUAAACGAUGAGUACUAGGUGUUGCGGGUAUUGACCCCUGCAGUGCCGCAGCUAACGCAUUAAGUACUCCGCCUGGGAAGUACGGUCGCAAGACUAAAAACUCAAAGGAAUUGACGGGGGCCCGCACAAGCGGUGGAGCAUGUGGUUUAAUUCGACGCAACGCGCAGAACCUUACCUGGGCUUGACAUCUACGGAACCCUCAUGAAAGUGAGGGGUGCCUUUCGGGGAGCCGUAAGACAGGUGCUGCAUGGCUGUCGU